UCGGGGCGUAGCGCAGCCCGGUAGCGCGCUUCGUUCGGGACGAAGAGGUCGCCGGUUCAAAUCCGGCCGCCCCGACCC
RNAcentral lists this transfer RNA (78 nucleotides) under bacterium HR18. RNAcentral describes it as "tRNA-Pro". It matches the Rfam family "tRNA". From Rfam's summary of the family: Transfer RNA (tRNA) molecules are approximately 80 nucleotides in length. Their secondary structure includes four short double-helical elements and three loops (D, anti-codon, and T loops). The record is from RNAcentral.